GAUCUGCCCAAUAGAGGGGGAUAACUACUGGAAACGGUAGCUAAUACCGCAUAAUGUCGAAAGACCAAAGUGGGGGACCUUAUGGCCUCACGCUGUUGGAUGAACCCAGAUGGGAUUAGCUAGUAGGUGUGGUAAUGGCUCACCUAGGCAACGAUCCCUAGCUGGUCUGAGAGGAUAACCAGCCACACUGGAACUGAGAUACGGUCCAGACUNCUACGGGAGGCAGCAGUGGGGAAUAUUGCACAAUGGGGGAAACCCUGAUGCAGCUAUGCCGCGUGUGUGAAGAAGGCCUUUGGGUUGUAAAGCACUUUCAGCGGGGAAGAAGCUUACAGUGCUAAUAACUCUGUAAAUUGACGCUACCCGAAGAAGAAGCACCGGCUAACUCCGUGCCAGCAGCCGCGGUAAUACGGAGGGUGCAAGCGUUAGUCGAAAUUACUGGGCGUAAAGAGUACGCAGGCAGCCUGUUAAGUCAGAUGUGAAAUCCCCAGGCUCAACCCGGGAACUGCAUCUGAAA
Molecule: ribosomal RNA, 514 nt
Filed under: Sodalis-like secondary symbiont of Eulachnus rileyi
Lineage: Bacteria; Pseudomonadati; Pseudomonadota; Gammaproteobacteria; Enterobacterales; Bruguierivoracaceae
Description: bacterial SSU rRNA
Rfam family: Bacterial small subunit ribosomal RNA
Source: RNAcentral